AUUGAACGCUGGCGGCAGGCCUAACACAUGCAAGUCGGGCGGAUGAAGGGAGCCUGCUCCUGGAUUCAGCGGCGGACGGGUGAGUAAUGCCUAGGAAUCUGCCUGGUAGUGGGGGAUAACGUCCGGAAACGGGCGCUAAUACCGCAUACGUCCUGAGGGAGAAAGUGGGGGAUCUUCGGACCUCACGCUAUCAGAUGAGCCUAGGUCGGAUUAGCUAGUUGGUGGGGUAAAGGCCUACCAAGGCGACGAUCCGUAACUGGUCUGAGAGGAUGAUCAGUCACACUGGAACUGAGACACGGUCCAGACUCCUACGGGAGGCAGCAGUGGGGAAUAUUGGACAAUGGGCGAAAGCCUGAUCCAGCCAUGCCGCGUGUGUGAAGAAGGUCUUCGGAUUGUAAAGCACUUUAAGUUGGGAGGAAGGGCAGUAAGUUAAUACCUUGCUGUUUUGACGUUACCAACAGAAUAAGCACCGGCUAACUUCGUG
RNAcentral lists this ribosomal RNA (484 nucleotides) under uncultured bacterium. RNAcentral describes it as "partial 16S ribosomal RNA". It matches the Rfam family "Bacterial small subunit ribosomal RNA", at positions 30 to 507 of the family's 1533-position model. The record is from RNAcentral.